This 256-nucleotide long non-coding RNA is filed under the name Mustela putorius furo (domestic ferret). Its description in RNAcentral is "lncRNA (ENSMPUG00000028578.1)". Lineage: Eukaryota; Metazoa; Chordata; Mammalia; Carnivora; Mustelidae. The record is from RNAcentral.
UGCCAGGCAACCUUGGACCAGAGACAGCAGAGCAGAGCCAUGAACUGGAAGGAAAAAGUCUGUAGCAUUCCCUCUCGGCAUAGCCCUUCUCAAUGCCUCUCCUAAGCCUUGGAGAAGUUGGAGGCCAUGUGUUCAACCGAGAGUGUAACCCGAUGGAAAGAACCAGGGUCCCUGAGACUGGAAUAGAGAAUACUUCUCCACCAUCUGCCUUGUAUUUAUUUCCCUGACCAAUGCUGUGGCAUUCGAGCAAAGCCCC